This is a long non-coding RNA of Oreochromis niloticus (Nile tilapia), 1987 nucleotides long. RefSeq lists it as uncharacterized. The transcript is spliced from 2 exons. The record is from RefSeq and is a predicted model, not a curated record. NCBI's taxonomy places the organism in Eukaryota, Metazoa, Chordata, Actinopteri, Cichliformes, Cichlidae.
UAAUCCCCUAAAACAGAAAUGCAACAAGUUUAUUUUAAUUAGGCAAUGGUGAAAUGACAGCCCAGAUAGACUGGGUAAAAUAAGUAUUGAACAUGUCACCAAUUUUCUAAGUAAAUAUAUUUGUAAAGCUGCUAUUGGCAAUAAAUUCUCAAUAGAUGUCAGCAACAACCUAUCCAAUCAAGACACGCAAAGAAAUCAAACCAUAGAUGUCCAUGCGUUCGGUUUUGUGUAACAAUGAAAAAUGACACAGGGAAACACUACUGAACACAUGAAGAAAGGGAGGUUUAAAAAGGCAUGGGCAGUCAUGACACCAGCUGAAAUCAACCCUGUCCCUUCUGGUUCAGUCCCAACUGAUGGCUUAUAAGUAGUAUCUCAUUUCCAAGGUGUCACACAAGAAUCAUCUCAUGAUGGGUAAAGCUAAUGAACUCUCUCGAGCCCCUCCCAACCUUACUGUUGCAAAUCAUACUGAUUGCACUGGUUACAGCAGAAUUUCGAAACUACUGAAGUUUCCGAUGAGCACUGUUGGGGCCAUAAUCUGGAAGAGGAAAGAACAACAUUUUUACCAUGAACAGGUGCUAGCCGCAGGAUUUCAGACAGAGGAGUGAAAAGAAUUAUCAGAAGAGCUGUCCAAGAGCCAAGCACCACUUGUGGAGAGCUACAGAAAGACCUUUAAUCAACAGGUACAAUUGUUUCAAAGCAAACAAUAAGUAAUCCACUCAACCACCGUGGCCUGUAUGCAUGCUUACAACAUAUUGUUGAAGAAACAGCAUGUUGAAGCAUAUUUAAAGUUUGCUGAACAACAUUUAGACAACCUGCAUUCAUACUUUUUUCCAGUGUCAAAAGCUCACCUUUAAAAAUUUUUUACUUAAAUAAUUGGUGAUGUGUUCUGUCAAUAGAAAAUUGUAUGUUUUAGUCAGUAUAAGCUUUUAAUGAUAUAAGUUUGCUUGUGAUAGAAUGCUGCAUGAUGAUCAUUUCCUUGCUUAGAACUGGUUGUUCUUUUCAUUGUUCAGGACUGAUUGUUCUUUAUAAAACAUGUUCUGAUAUUUGUAUCUGAGUCUUCUCACAGCGAUAGGAAGAAGUCAAACAAGCAGUUCUGACCUCCCACACACACACACACACACACACACACACAAUCACAUAUGCACAUGCUCACGUCAAAUGUAUUCAUUUUUCUUAUGUAUAAAUAAAGACACGUGCAAGAACAGAGCGCGCAUCGCAGGGCCCCCACUCUGGUGUGAGCGUUCUGUGAUCGCCCUUGUAUACAAGUAAAUGCUGCAGCGUCUGUGUGCGUUUCUCCUCUUAGACUCUUAGCUGAAGAAGUGUCUUUAGAAUAAAUCUCUUGACAUUUAUUUUGGUCCUUCGUAGCUGGAGCAGAAACAUCAGAACUGUUAUCUGUGACUCUGUUCCAGGAUCCAGCACUGAUUCCUGACGCCGUGGGAAGCCAGCACCGAAGUCUGUGCACAGCCCUCUUAGACGAGGCCGAAAGACCUGGGACGCUAAAAUUCGGGUCCAGGCCGGUGUUUUUAGUCUGGUCCACGGCGGUGGGAUUCAGUCUGGCGAUCCGAACCACCAGUGAGACGUCUGAGGGUGAGAAACUCUAUUUUGAUAUAUAAAAGGGCCGCAAAGGUUUAAAGAAACGUGAUAAAACAGGUUUAAGUUCGCCAAAAGGAACAGUGUUUAGACUGGUUUUAGAGGUAGCCGAAAUUACUUCGUGACAAAUUAAAAUAUGUUUAGGCAAAUUAAAACACGUUGAGACAAAGAAAUUAACAUAGGUUUAAGUUCGCCAAAAGGAACUGUGUUUAGACUGGUUUUAGAGGUAGCCAUAAAAUACUUCGUGACAAAUUAGCGUGCAAAUGUCUAUGUGUGUAUGUGUCUAGAAGUAAGUUGAUUUUACAGCACAAUACGCUGCUGAACUACUUCUAUUUUAUUUUGUUCUUUGCUUGAGGCUCACGUACUGGUGACAAAGGUUGAGCUUCGUCUCAUAAAA